Molecule: unclassified non-coding RNA, 179 nt
Filed under: Diversispora epigaea
Lineage: Eukaryota; Fungi; Glomeromycota; Glomeromycetes; Diversisporales; Diversisporaceae
Description: partial internal transcribed spacer region
Rfam family: Eukaryotic small subunit ribosomal RNA (bases 1-46)
Source: RNAcentral
AAGUCGUAACAAGGUUUCCGUAGGUGAACCUGCGGAAGGAUCAUUAAAAACUUUUAUCCGGGAAUUCGUUUCGUUUUUCCGGAUUAUUUGUAUUCAAAUCCCACUCUUUAUAAAUAUAUCAAUUAUAUAAAACAAAAAAUAAAAAAAGAAAACUUUCAACAACGGAUCUCUUGGCUCUC